RNAcentral lists this ribosomal RNA (492 nucleotides) under uncultured bacterium. RNAcentral describes it as "bacterial SSU rRNA". It matches the Rfam family "Bacterial small subunit ribosomal RNA", at positions 28 to 516 of the family's 1533-position model. The record is from RNAcentral.
GAUGAACGCUAGCGGCAGGCCUAAUACAUGCAAGCCGAACGGCAGCACGAUCUUCGGAUUGGUGGCGAGUGGCGCACGGGUGCGUAACGCGUAUGCAACUUACCCUUGACAGGAAGAUAGCCCGGGGAAACUCGGAUUAAUAUUCCAUGGUAUUAUUGAACCACCUGGUUUAGUAAUUAAAGAUUUAUCGGUCAGGGAUGGGCAUGCGUCUGAUUAGCUAGAUGGUGAGGUAACGGCUCACCAUGGCGAUGAUCAGUAGGGGUUCUGAGAGGAUGAUCCCCCACACUGGGUACUGAGAUACGGGACCAGACUCCUACGGGAGGCAGCAGUAGGGAAUAUUGGGCAAUGGGUGAGAGCCUGACCCAGCCAUGCCGCGUGUAGGAAGACGGCCCUACGGGUUGUAAACUACUUUUAUAUAGGAACAAAAAGAAGACGUGUCUUUCAUUGAGGGUACUAUAUGAAUAAGCACCGGCUAACUCCGUGCCAGCCGCC